CGACCGGCGCACGGUGCGUAACGCGUAUGCAACCUACCUUUAACGGGGGAGUAACACUGAGAAAUUGGUACUAAUACCCCAUAAUAUCAUAGAAGGCAUCUUUUAUGGUUGAAAAUUCCGAUGGUUAGAGAUGGGCAUGCGUUGUAUUAGCUAGUUGGUGGGGUAACGGCUCACCAAGACGAUGAUAGGUAGGGGUUCUGAGAGGAAGGUCCCCCACAUUGGAACUGAGACACGGUCCAA
Molecule: ribosomal RNA, 240 nt
Filed under: uncultured bacterium
Lineage: Bacteria
Description: partial 16S ribosomal RNA
Rfam family: Bacterial small subunit ribosomal RNA
Source: RNAcentral